GAUGAACGCUGGCGGCGUGCCUAACACAUGCAAGUCGAACGAACAGACGAGGAGCUUGCUCCUCUGACGUUAGCGGCGGACGGGAGAGUAACACGUGUAUACCCUACCUAUCAGACUGGGAUAACUUCGGGAAUCCGGAGCUAAUACCGGAUAAUAUAUUGAACCGCAUGGUUCAAUAGUGAAAGACGGCUUUGCUGUCUCGUAUCGAUGCAUACGAGCCGCAUUAGAUAGUUGGUCAGGUAGCGGCUUACCAAGGCAACGAGGCGUAGCCGACGGGAGAGAGUGGUCGGCGACACGGGAGGGGAGACACGGUCCUGGGGCCUGCGGGAGGCAGCAGUAGGGAAUCGUACGCAGUGGGCGAGAGCCUGACGGAACAACGCGGCGUGAGUUAUAAAGGCGCUGGGUGCGUAAAGCUCUGUUAUUGGGGAAGAACAAAUUUGUAAUUAACUAUGCACGGCUUGACGGUACCGAGUCAGGAAGCCACGGCUAACUACGUG
RNAcentral lists this ribosomal RNA (497 nucleotides) under uncultured bacterium. RNAcentral's name for it is "partial 16S ribosomal RNA". It matches the Rfam family "Bacterial small subunit ribosomal RNA", at positions 28 to 507 of the family's 1533-position model. The record is from RNAcentral.